GUGAGUGUAGUUUAACUAAGACGUCGGAUUGUGAUUCCAAAGAUGAGGGUUAGAUUCCCCCCACCCACC
Molecule: transfer RNA, 69 nt
Filed under: Lophotus capellei (unicornfish)
Lineage: Eukaryota; Metazoa; Chordata; Actinopteri; Lampriformes; Lophotidae
Description: tRNA-His
Rfam family: tRNA
About the family: Transfer RNA (tRNA) molecules are approximately 80 nucleotides in length. Their secondary structure includes four short double-helical elements and three loops (D, anti-codon, and T loops).
Source: RNAcentral